Molecule: RNA transcript, 1520 nt
Organism: Globicephala melas (long-finned pilot whale)
Lineage: Eukaryota; Metazoa; Chordata; Mammalia; Artiodactyla; Delphinidae
Gene: HMGN1
Gene name: high mobility group nucleosome binding domain 1
Source: RefSeq, a predicted model, not a curated record
UAGGACCCAUUUCCCGCAGGCCAGCAAGACGGGAGACCUAUUAGAUAGCCUUUCUUACUGACUGAGUUGGGAGAAAUUGGUUCGUACUUGAACCUGUUGUCUCUCCCUUCCCAGUCUGUGAGAUCCAAUUGACCCUAGAGGGGAGAGACCCUAUCCUGGGGCUUUCCGGGAGCUGACGGGCGCUCAGCUCGGGCGGCGGGAGGAGCGGCAGCGGCCAGGCAGCCCAGGUUCACGAAGGCUCUCGGCGCGCCGCGGCCCGCAGGCACCCGGCACGCGCCCGCCCUGCCGCGACGAUGCCCAAGAGGAAGGUCAGCUCCGCCGAGGGGGCGGCGAAGGAGGAGGUAAGAACCCGCUCCUCUUCUCUCCCGGGGGUGGUUUCGGUUUGCACCGCACCCCGCAUUCCUUGCUCAUUUUCCUUUUUUUCUCCCAAAGCCCAAGAGGAGAUCGGCGAGGUUGUCAGCUAAACCGGUUCCUGCAAAAGUGGAAACGAAGCCAAAAAAGGCGGCAGGAAAGGAUAAAUCGUCCGACAAAAAAGUGCAAACAAAAGGGAAAAGGGGAGCAAAGGGAAAGCAGGCUGAAGUGGCUAACCAAGAGACUAAAGAAGACUUACCUGCAGAAAAUGGAGAAACUAAAAAUGAGGAGAGCCCAGCUUCUGAUGAAGCAGGAGAGAAAGAAGCCAAGUCUGAUUAAUAUCACACACCUGGUCCUAUCAGUGGUCCCUGUUUCCCUUCUUGUACAAUCCAGAGGAAUAUUUUUAUCAACUAUUUUGUAAAUGCAAGUUUUUUAGUAGCUCUAGAAACAUUUUUAAAAAGGAAGGAAUCCCACCUCAUCCCAUUUUUUAAGUGUAAAUGCUUUUUUUUAAGAGGUGAAAUCAUUUGCUGGUUGUUUAUUUUUUGGUACAACCAGAAAAUAGUGGGAUAUUGAAUAUGGGAGGCUUUGAUUGUCUUGGGUGUCAGCUUAACAUUCCACAGAUGGAGGGUAGCUUUUAUAUCCUAUAAUACAAAGCAUACUACAUGGCAGUUUGGAGUCAGUUGCGCAUUUAAUGUCUUAAACACUUUAAAUUACUUCUCUUCCCACGUUGUUUUUGGUAGAAUUGUUUCCUAAAGCAAACCACUCACCCCUUGAUCUUGGCUCUCCUGGGCAGAGUUUUGUGCACUCUGUAACAUCUUCGGUCGUGGUAGUCCAGUUCUUCUAGUAACUGUUAAUGUGCUGUGAACGAUUGACAAUUUGAGUAUGUAGUGUAUGUGAUAUUAAAUUGUGAAUUAGUGGGACUUACGAUGUAACAGCAUAUCAAUAUUUGAAGAUAUUGGUACUUGAUAUCCUGUGAAGGAAAAUUUGCCCCCAAAUUUUAAGCUGGAAAGUCACUGGAAUAACUGUUCAGAAAAGAAUCACAACUACAUGAUUUUUUAGGUUUUUGGUACGUAUGUUGAGAAUUGUGUACAAAUUGAAAUGUCUGUGUACUGAUCCUCAAAACAACAAAUAAAAUCUCAACUAUGAAAGAAUUUCUUGAAGCACAUGGA